UACGUAGGAGGCAAGCGUUGUCCGGAAUUAUUGGGCGUAAAGAGCUCGUAGGCGGUUUGUCGCGUCGGCCGUGAAAACUGGAGGCUUAACCUUCAGCUUGCGGUCGAUACGGGCAGACUUGAGUUCGGUAGGGGAGACUGGAAUUCCUGGUGUAGCGGUGAAAUGCGCAGAUAUCAGGAGGAACACCGGUGGCGAAGGCGGGUCUCUGGGCCGAUACUGACACUGAGGAGCGAAAGCGUGGGUAGCAAACAGG
This 253-nucleotide ribosomal RNA is filed under the name uncultured bacterium. RNAcentral's name for it is "partial 16S ribosomal RNA". It matches the Rfam family "Bacterial small subunit ribosomal RNA", at positions 524 to 776 of the family's 1533-position model. The record is from RNAcentral.